Molecule: long non-coding RNA, 1249 nt
Organism: Ornithodoros turicata
Lineage: Eukaryota; Metazoa; Arthropoda; Arachnida; Ixodida; Argasidae
Exons: 5
Source: RefSeq, a predicted model, not a curated record
UGGCUCCAGCAGCAGGCGAUCGAAUCACGCGCCCGGAGACUUCCACAUUCUCUCAUCCGACAGCACGCUGGGAAGAGGCUCCGCUACGGUUUCCGGCGACAAAGAUCGGUACGGAGGUUAACAAGCUCCGCUCCGGGAGAAAAACACGACACGCAACCCGGGAGUUCGUCCAUCCUUUCGGGAAGUCCACCACCACCCUCCAGACGGGUCACCUGCCAACUCUUCUUCCAGUUGACGCAGGACACCUGGCUGUACUGCAUGUCAGCCAACACUCGCUUCACUUGCAACAUGACACGAGGUCGCAAGGUUGGGCCUCCUCGGUCCUUCAGAUAUGGGCCCUGUCCUGCUUUGGAGAUCUCUCGUAUAGCGCAGCACCUUAGUGUCCCGGUAUAUAGGGACAAGCCUCCACAAUGCACUUCACGCGAAAAUGAACACACACCUUCGAUCGUCCGGCGGAACAAAAGUCCUAGGUUGCUUCUUAGUUAUCCUAGAUGAUACGUGUAUAUGUCACGUCCCCCACUGCAGGAAGUGCCUCGCUAAGUGUCCUGGCGACGUGAUACCUAGCAUGACACCAUCCUGGCGCUCUGCCUUCAAGUCCAGAGCGAGACUUUUUCGUGGCCUGACAACGAACGCAAUGACUUCAGGCCUGUAUGCUGGACUCCAAAUCAUUGUAAGACAACCCAGUGUCCUGGAAGGCCAGUAUCGUACAUACCCGUCGGGCGUCAGUACAACACGUCUUAUUAUCCUGCGCGUGCCAGUGCAGUGUCCCUCUGGAUCGUGUUUUGCCGGUCACAGUGACGACCUAUCCAAGAACUGGAGUACGUCCUGACUUUGAAAUACGGUACAUGUGACCUCCGUGUAGUCAACUUUCUCAAUGUCGCUGUCAACGUCUGGAGAAGGCAGAAUACAGAAGAACGCUCGUCACCGUCUGAAGAGGAGCACGUCUUGGAUAAGGGAUUAAGUAACGCCAGCGCCAUCACAGUCCCACCGGCACAGCACUUAACGUUAUCACAGCACCGAGGCGACCCGGAAUCCAGUCCAACGGAUCAGCUCCACAUCUCUCGUGACGACGUUGAACACUGCUCGCGUCAACACCUGUUCGACACUCAAUCUCAAGACGAGCGGCUUCCGAGAAAUAUGAUGAUUCAACGACGCCGACGGCCAAAUGGUUCGAGCUCCUCCCACUGUAAGUACACGUGCCGUGUGGGACAGCGCUAUGUUUCGCUCAACGACCAAUAAAAUGUUACUC